This 332-nucleotide long non-coding RNA is filed under the name Triticum aestivum (bread wheat). RNAcentral's name for it is "long non-coding RNA (TAES_LNC013653)". Lineage: Eukaryota; Viridiplantae; Streptophyta; Magnoliopsida; Poales; Poaceae. The record is from RNAcentral.
AUGCGUGUGCUGGAUUAGGUGUCAGCAGCGAUCUGGUUAUUAUGUAGGCACUCAAGUGAGCUCGCGUUCCGGCAGAUAGGGCUAAAAACAGAGCUCCUCCAUCCUUGGUGCCUCCACAGGCUGUCAUCGCUAGUAAGUACUCCAACCUCAUUAGGUGUAAAAUCUCUGCAUUAGUAUCUAGGGGUUAUGUUGUUUAGGAAGUAUACUUAGCAGUCAGAUCUGCAAUCUAGUGAUCUUUUCGUCUCUUGUGUCUUUUUAGAUGGAUGAUGAGGGCGAGCAUCAAGAGUUGUCAUGCCGGGGGCAGUCCGAAAAUCAAGAGAGCCCCUGUGCUG